This 681-nucleotide long non-coding RNA is filed under the name Citrus sinensis (sweet orange). RNAcentral describes it as "long non-coding RNA (CSIN_LNC004042)". The record is from RNAcentral. Lineage: Eukaryota; Viridiplantae; Streptophyta; Magnoliopsida; Sapindales; Rutaceae.
AAGUAGUAAAAGCACAGGACAAGGUCGAACCCAAUUUCAGUGAGAGAAAGCAGAAGCAAGCCAAACAGAGUAUUAAUGCUAGUCAGGCUCAGAACUACCAUUCAUGCAGCUAGCCAUAGGCAGCAGCCCUUUGGCUAAUUAUACUUCAAAUUCAAUUCUAAGCUUACUCACUAACCAACUCUUAAUGCACAAAACCAACAAUACGCGGCAGAAGAAAAAUGGCAACUGUUCUGUUUUAGACAACAAUUUCUCCUUGUGCCAGAAAAACAAAGAACAAAAAGAGGCAAAUAAUUCAGAAAAACAAAAAGCUUAUAAUUAGUCAAGUGCUCUCAUAUGUCAUUUACAAAGAAAACAAUGUCUGAGGAAAAAUCAAAUUGUGCCAGCAGCAAUACAAGCUUAAAGCAUAACAGCACAAAAAUUGCAAAGAGGGAAAAUCAAAGUGUAAUAGAGCAUAAAUUGUAAAGAGAAAAGCCGAGACUCACAAAUAUUCACAGCGGCAACUGAAGUAUAUGCUGAUGAACACAGAACACAGCAGCGAGACUGAGGUGGAUUUCAACCCCUUUUGCUGGCCGCGACAGAGUGAGAGAUCAGACGAGUGAUGAAACGAACAAAGCCUCGCCGUGAAGGUGAUGACAAGCCACGACGCGAAGGAUCUGAUCUGAUCUGAAGAAGAGAUUACAG